RNAcentral lists this ribosomal RNA (512 nucleotides) under uncultured bacterium. RNAcentral describes it as "partial 16S ribosomal RNA". It matches the Rfam family "Bacterial small subunit ribosomal RNA", at positions 28 to 523 of the family's 1533-position model. The record is from RNAcentral.
GACGAACGCUGGCGGCGUGCCUAAUACAUGCAAGUCGAGCGGACAGAUGGGAACUUGCUCCCGGAAGUCAGCGGCGGACGGGUGAGUAACACAUGGGCAACCUGCCUGUAAGACUGGGAUAACUUCGGGAAACCGGAGCUAAUACCGGAUACGUUCUUUUCUCGCAUGAGAGAAGAUGGAAAGAUGGUUUCGGCUAUCACUUACAGAUGGGCCCGCGGCGCAUUAGCUAGUUGGUGAGGGAAUGGCUCACCAAGGCGACGAUGCGUAGCCGACCUGAGAGGGGGAUCGGCCACACUGGGACUGAGACACGGCCCAGACUCCUACGGGAGGCAGCAGUAGGGAAUCUUCCGCAAUGGACGAAAGUCUGACGGAGCAACGCCGCGUGAACGAUGAAGGCCUUCGGGUCGUAAAGUUCUGUUGUUAGGGAAGAACAAGUACCAGAGUAACUGCUGGUACCUUGACGGUACCUAACCAGAAAGCCACGGCUAACUACGUGCCAGCCGCCGCGGUAA